RNAcentral lists this ribosomal RNA (428 nucleotides) under Chloroflexota bacterium. RNAcentral's name for it is "Chloroflexi bacterium partial 16S ribosomal RNA". It matches the Rfam family "Bacterial small subunit ribosomal RNA", at positions 355 to 776 of the family's 1533-position model. The record is from RNAcentral. Lineage: Bacteria; Bacillati; Chloroflexota.
UGGGGAAUAUUGCACAAUGGGCGCAAGCCUGAUGCAGCCAUGCCGCGUGUAUGAAGAAGGCCUUCGGGUUGUAAAGUACUUUCAGUCGGGAGGAAGGUGUCAAGGUUAAUAACCUUGGCAAUUGACGUUACCGACAGAAGAAGCACCGGCUAACUCCGUGCCAGCAGCCGCGGUAAUACGGAGGGUGCAAGCGUUAAUCGGAAUUACUGGGCGUAAAGCGCACGCAGGCGGUUGAUUGAGUCAGAUGUGAAAUCCCCGGGCUUAACCCGGGAAUUGCAUCUGAUACUGGUCAGCUAGAGUCUUGUAGAGGGGGUAGAAUUCCAUGUGUAGCGGUGAAAUGCGUAGAGAUCUGGAGGAAUACCGGUGGCGAAGGCGGCCCCCUGGACGAAGACUGACGCUCAGGUGCGAAAGCGUGGGGAGCAAACAGG